RNAcentral lists this transfer RNA (69 nucleotides) under Macrocheraia grandis grandis. Its description in RNAcentral is "tRNA-Met". Lineage: Eukaryota; Metazoa; Arthropoda; Insecta; Hemiptera; Largidae. The record is from RNAcentral. RNAcentral also lists the same sequence under 1 other name.
AGAAAGAUAAACUAAUUAAAGUUAAUAGGUUCAUACCCUAUCUAUAGAAGUAAAACCUCCUUCUUUCUA